This 222-nucleotide long non-coding RNA is filed under the name Elaeis guineensis (African oil palm). RNAcentral's name for it is "long non-coding RNA (EGUI_LNC018504)". The record is from RNAcentral. Lineage: Eukaryota; Viridiplantae; Streptophyta; Magnoliopsida; Arecales; Arecaceae.
GGCUGCCAUUGCCAUGGCUCAAUGAAAAGGAUAGCAUGCCUUCUCAAUGCCAUCCAUUUUGAACAACAGUACCCAUGGGCAUGACUCUCCAAGAUCAUUCCCAUCAGAAAAAGAAAAUGAAAGCCCUUGUCGACCAAGGAUCGGCCACGAUAGCCCUACAAUAAUGACCAAAGCAAGAUGAUGAAUGCUCCUGGCCCCUAAAUGGAGCCCAAUUUAUAGAGA